GGGUGGGCAGAGACAUUCCCCACGGGUGACAUUCCCCACGGGUUUCCAAGGGAGAGCCCCCUGUGGGACUGGAGAGCCCAGGGGACUGCAGAGACUAGAGAGAGAUGAGACCAGGAAGACACCAAGGCCCGGACCAGGGCAGCCAGAAGGGCCCUCAGCGCUGGUCCCUGCAGCUCCUCCUAAGCCAGAUCUGCCAGGGGAGCUCGGAAAUGCCUGUCGCGGAGCCUCGGUCCAUCCGCCCCUCCCAACCGGUCCGGCACAUCCAGGCGCACACACAUCUGUCCACAAACACACCCUCCCUCACACACACACAACUCACACACACACCAAUUCACACAUACACAACUCACACACCAACUCACACGCACACAACUCACACGCACAGCAACUCACAUACACAUCAACACACACAUACACAACUCACACACCAACUCACAUAUGUGCCAACUCACAUGCCAACUCACACACGGACUCACACACACACCAACUCACAUGCACACCAACUCACACAUACACAACUCACACACCAACUCACACAUACAUAACUCACACCAACUCACAUGCCAACUCACACAACUCAUAUGCGCUCACACAUACACAACUCACACACCAACUCACAUAUGUGCCAACUCACAUGUACACCAAUACACACACAUACACAAGUCACUUACACACCAACUCACAUACACACCAACUCACACAUACACAACUCACACCAACUCAUAC
Molecule: long non-coding RNA, 726 nt
Filed under: Homo sapiens (human)
Lineage: Eukaryota; Metazoa; Chordata; Mammalia; Primates; Hominidae
Description: non-protein coding lnc-IER5L-1:2
Source: RNAcentral